UAAUUAGACACAUUCAAUGUAUACAGAUUUACUAGAAUAAUAUGACAAUUGGUAAAUUUGUCAGAUACAAAUAUUAAAAUGUAAGAAUUCUAUGAACAUUCUAUGUAUGUGUACACCACCAAUUCUACAACAUGACGUUUUGAUGAUGUAUCAUUUCGAUAUAAUAUACUAAUAAUGUUUAUCAUUAUGGAUUACCCACCCAACAAAAAAAACUUAAAAAGGAAAAAAAAAACUAUGCACCAGUGGAAUUAAAAAAUUUUAUACGACUACAUGUGUAUACAUACCUGACAUCACGCGAGGAAGAUGAAGGGACAUAACUUGAGAACGG
Molecule: long non-coding RNA, 328 nt
Filed under: Mytilus galloprovincialis (Mediterranean mussel)
Lineage: Eukaryota; Metazoa; Mollusca; Bivalvia; Mytilida; Mytilidae
Source: RNAcentral